Long non-coding RNA from Clupea harengus (Atlantic herring), 2777 nucleotides. Lineage: Eukaryota; Metazoa; Chordata; Actinopteri; Clupeiformes; Clupeidae. The record is from Ensembl.
CGGCCUUUGUUGGCGCCAUGGUGAAGUACGAGCCCUUGACCUACAACCGCACGUAUGUGUCCCCAGGCUGGGUGCACGUGCUGGGCUGGAUGAUGGCCUUCCUCUCGAUUCUAAUGGCUCCUGUGGUGGCUCUGUUCUUGCUGGGGACUAGGAAAGGAAAUCUUGAACAGACACAGAGUCAGUUUCAGGAAAUGACAUGAAGAGGUCGAUGGUGUGGUCUUGAAGGACCGAAGAGAACAUUAAAUGAGAGAAAGUUAUGGGAGGGGCACCAAUGUCACUGUUUUGAGACACUAGAUGCCUGUAACCUCUAUCCCUCUCUAUGUUUAAAAAAAAAAAAAAUGGAAUUAAUGCUCUGGUGUCAUUGAUUAAUGUUUAAUGAAAACCCCAACUUACAUGUAAAAUGACACACAAACACUCUACAAAAGGCUGCGAGCACUCCCUCAUGCCCUACACAAGAAGCUGCAAGGGUUCAUGUCAACAGUGUAGGACCGGCAGCUAGUGAAUGAUUAACGACCAUGCAUGAUCUCACUCAGACCAGACGUGUGACAUGUGCUGUUAACCACAAAAAGCACAGAAAGCUAACCAAGUUGUCAUGCUUAAACAGAAAGGCCUUUAUAAAGAUCAGAGGGAGGUAAAAAAGGAAAUCUUGUACCAUAUGUACCAUGGUACAGGUAAGCAGGACUUCCAGUCAAGUAACAUGUGACAUACCAGUAUUGAACUGUAAAAGUUUCUGUUAGGUAAAAUUGUUUUGAUUUUUUGCAUUGAUUUAGCAGCAUUGACAAUGUGACAACUGCUUAUGACUGAACUUAGUUCAACAUUUGUUAAAUAUUUGUUAAAUGUUGUUGUUGUUACAUUUUGUAACAUACAUAUUGUUAAUGAUCUGACUCAGAUCAUUCUCCAUCUUUGCUCUUUUUCAAAACACACACACACCAGAAAGGUGCAUUAACCACUUACAUGAAUAGAGUGCUCGUUUGGGCACUCGUAAGAUUCUCCUCAUCUUUUCGUAGCUGCAUUUCCCCUUGCAGACACCCAGCAGCACCCACAUGCCUACACGUGCCUGCUCAUGCCAUCUGUGUCUCCCUCACACUUCCCUCACUGCUGUUCCUGUUGUAAGUGUGAUCCAGCACGGCCAUCUCAUGACCUCAAUCACACUCAAAUAUAGAGUUGGCUCAUCAGGACUACUGUGUUGGGGUGCAUGAAUGUCAGUCACAUGUCGGAGGUUUCCUUCUGGUUUUUCUGUGCUGUGUUCCCCCCUGUGUCUCCAGGUGGUCUACUUCACAGCCACGUUCCCCUACGUGAUGCUGCUGUUGCUGCUCAUCAGAGGACUGACUCUACCUGGAGCUCUGCAGGGGGUCACCUACUACCUGUACCCAGAGCCCUCAAAGCUGUUAGAGCCUCAGUGGGCUGUGUCUGGCUGACGGUGUUGAACAGUGGGACCAGUUUUGUGGCUGGAUUUGCAGUUUUCUCAGAGUUGGGCUUGAUGGCUCAUGAUUUAGGUCCUAUUUUAGGAGCUCCCAUUUAGAAAGUGGCAGAAUCAGGUCUUGGUUUUCAUCACGUCCCUUCAGGCUGUGGCCAUGAUGCCUUUUCCACAGCUGUGGGCGGUCUGCUUCUUCAUCAUGCUCCUUCUCCCUGGCCUGGAUACACAGACGGCCUUCGUUGGCUCCAUGGUGAAGUACGAACCCCUGACCUACAACCGCACGUAUGUGUCCCCAGGCUGGGUGCACGUGCUGGGCUGGGUGAUGGCCUUCCUCUCGAUUCUAAUGGCUCCUGUGGUGGCUCUGUUCUUGCUGGGGACUAGGAAAGGAAAUCUUAAGCAGUGCUAGGUUCACUGGUGUCGCCCAGCAGAUGAUUUACCUUUGACAAGGAAACAGAGGAGUCAGCUUCGAAUAUGACAUCAAAUGACGAGCCUGACGUUCUGGUCAUGGAAAAUAGAGAGGAGCACUGACGAAAAAUAGUAUUUAAAAAUGCACCCCAGUCCCGUGUUUUUGAAUAUUUAUGUUGACUAGACUCGAGCAUACACUGGGGAGUGAUGUGUACAUUACAAGUGCUCUUUAGUUUUUGUUGUCCAAGACCGAAACCUUUUGUAGAACUUCUAUGACUAAAGCUAAGACUAAAAUACUUUUUGUUAUUAGACAGGACAUUCUGUUUAUUUUUUGUGUUUCGGAAGUGUGUUGCAUUUGUUCAUAUUUUAGGGCCUUUUUUUAAGAUUGCAAUAUUAUUACAACUACUGUUAAGAAAUGCAACCUUUAGGAAUCCAAAUGAUUUAGAAUGUUAUUUUUACACUUUAAUGAUAAGAUUAUAAAUUUUCAUCAAUGCAGUUAAUGAUAGUUCAUUUUUAAUAACUGUUAAAAUCACUAAAAUAAAUGUGGUGGUAAAGUAAAGGCCACAUCUGCUCAAGCACAUUUGGUCAUGUGUUCAUGUAAAGCACUUGUUACGACCCUGGCGGGUCUAGGCCCCGCCCCAUGAGAUUUGCAUGCCUGUUCUCUAUCUGUCGUUACAACAGGUAAUUGGAUCCAGGUGUAUGGGUGAUUGUUUGGGCUACAAAAGCCCUGGUCAGAUGGAAGUCGGGAGAGCGUUGGAUUGGUCGUUGGAUUUGGAUAGUGAAUUGGAUUUGGGAUCGUCGUUUGUUUAUAUUACCAUUUACCUGACUUUACAUUACAUCUUUUGUUUCUCUUCACAACACUGAUCUUCCCCACACGUUUGCUAUAAUUAUUAGAUAACUAUAUAAACUUGUAAAUCAUUAAUAAAUAUAUUAUUAUUAUUAUAAAUAUCCUAAA